Hypanus sabinus (Atlantic stingray) is the source of this 3843-nucleotide long non-coding RNA. RefSeq lists it as uncharacterized. The record is from RefSeq and is a predicted model, not a curated record. The transcript is spliced from 5 exons. Lineage: Eukaryota; Metazoa; Chordata; Chondrichthyes; Myliobatiformes; Dasyatidae.
UACUCAACCACAGCAGCUGCAGAGCGCAACGUUCACUGUCACAUUUCCUUCAGUUGUUCAGACAAGAUACUGCACAAUUGGACACUGGAAAUAUUGAGAUUGCAAGAGGCAUACCCACAAGGUCUAGCCCCCCCAUAGAGGACAUGUUGCUGAGUAAGCCAUUCCUUCAACAGCAGACGGUGUGAAGCUCGGUCCAUGAAUGUUGACGAAUCAAUAAGCUCCAAGACCUUGGCCUCAGUACCUCCUUGUGCAACUGGUUCCUGGACUUCCUUACUUGUAGACCCCAGUCAGUUCAGAUUGGCAACACAUCUCCUCCAUGAUCUACAUCAACACAGAUGCACCACAAGACUGUGUACUUUGUCCCCUGCUCUACUCACUUUACAUCUAUGACUGUGUGGCUAAGUACAGUUCCAUUGCCAUAUUCAAGUUUGCUGAUGACACCACAGUUGUGGGCCGAAUCAAAGGUGGUGUUGAAUCAGCUUACGGGAGGGAGAUUGAAAAUUUGACUGAAUGGUGUAGUAACAACUGCAUGUUAGCAAGACCAAGGAAUGUUGACGUCAGGAGAGGGAAAGCAGAGAUUCAUGAGCCAAAUCCUCAUCUGAGGAUCAGAGGUGGAGUGGGUUAGCAACUUUAAAUUCCUGGGUGUUACUAUUUCAGAGGCUCUGUUCUGGACCCCGCACGUAAACGCAUUUGCAAAGAAAGCACGGCAGUGCCUCUACUUCCUUAGGAGUCUGUGGAGACUUGGCAUGACAUCUAAAACUUUGACAAACUUCCAUAGGCGUGUAGUGGAGAGUAUACUGACUGGCUGCAUCACAGCCUGGAAUGGAAACACCAAUGCCUUUGAACAGAGACUCUUACGAAAGCUAAUGGAUUCGUCCCAGUAUAUCAUGGGUAAAGUCAUCCCAACCACUGAGCACGUCUACAUGAAACACUAUUGUAGGAAAGCAGCAUCCACCCACCCAGACCAUGCUCUCUUCUCGCUGCUGCCAUCAGGUAGAAGGUACAAGAGCCUCAGGACUUGCACCACCAGGUCCAAGAACAGUUACUACCUCUCAACCAUCAGGCUCUUGAAUAAAAGGGGAAAACUACACUUACUUGCCCCAUCAUUGAAAUGUUCUCACAGCCAGUGAUCCCACUUUAAGAUACCUUCGAACUCAGACUCAAGAUGGUGAAGUCUGGUUGGUCUUUGAGAUGGAUGAAGACAAAAGAGGUACAUCAAUGAGGAAACUCCAUUGAAGUGCUCCUCAUCUGGAAUCUAGUAGGCCUCAAAACACAAGUGUGCUCCUGAUACAGAAGAAGUUGAUUUCCUGAAGCUCUCCAGGACUCCAGACUCAUAAUUUGUCAGCCAUGUGACAGAGCUGCCAAUCCUUACCUUUGCUGGAACUACAGAAAUUACACAUUGCAGGUAUGUGUCUGGAACAACUAGAGCCUGUGAUUUCCAGUAUGGAGAUCAACUGAAUGAUCCAGCACUCUAGGAAGUUUUCAGGAAGUAGUGGGCCUGAGCUUUGAGGCAAAGAAAGUAUGAGACAAGGCAAUGCUUAGCCACAGAUCUCCCACCUGGCACUUACAAGUGUAAGUGCUACACCUGUCCCUACACCUCCUGUCUUACCACAAUUCAGGGCCACAAACAGUCCUUCCAGAUGAGGCAACACUUCACUUGUGAGUCUGUUGGAGUAAUCUAUUGCAUCCGGUGCUCCUUGGUGUGGCCUCCUCUACAUCGGCGAGACCCAACACAGAUUGGGGGACUGCUUCGUCGAGCUCCUCCGCUCCGUCCGCCACAACAGACAGGAUCUCCCGGUUGCUUCACAUUCCCAUUCGGAUAUGUCCAUACAUGGCCUUCUCUACUGCCAUGAUGAGGCCAAACUCAGGCUGGAGGAGCAACAUCUCAUAUACCGUCUGGGUAGUCUCCAGUCGCUUGGUAAGAACAUUGAAUUCUCCAACUUCUGGAAAUUCCCUCCCCCUCCCUUCCCCCCCCAUCCCAGUUUCACUCUGCCUCCUCCUCCAGCUGCCUAUCACCUCCCUCAUGAUUCCGCUUCCUUCUACUACCCAUAGUGCUUUCCCCUUACAUUCCUUCUUCACCUUUCCUUCAUAUCCCCUCCCCCACCCCUUGUUCUUUCCUCUUACUGGUUUUUCACCUGGCACCUUCCCCCCUUCCCCCACCUUCUUUAUAGGGCCCCUGCCCCCUCCCUUUUCAGUCCUGCCGAAGGGUCUCGGCCCGAAACGUUGACUGGUCAUUUUUAUCGGAUGCUGCCUGACCUGCGGAGUUCCUCCAGCACGUUGUGCAUGUUUCUUAGUCUUCUACUGCUGUUUUCAUUCUAUGACACAUUUUUAUAUUUUGAAGCCUAUAAUCAGUUUAUGUCCUAAUAUGUUAUUCUCCAUUGAGGUGUUUAAACAGUUGAGCCAGGCCUGUUCUAAGAUCCCUGCCCCCUGCCCCCGCCACCCCCAUUCCCAAGUUGAAACAGUCAUCUGCCCCUCCAGUUCAAAUGCAAACCAUCCUGGCGGUACAGGUUCUAUCUGCCCCAAAAGGACCCCAAUGUCCCAUAAACCUAUGCCCCUCUAACCCACAUCAUGAUUUGAGCUACAUCUUAAAUCUUCUAAGCUCCUCAAUCUUACGUAGAAUAGCACGUAGCACAGGCAGAACUUCCGAGAAGACCACCUUGUCAGCUCUGUCCCUAAGCUUCCUACCUAACUCUUUAAAUUUGUCUUGCAGAACUGACAGUCUGCCCUUACCUAUGUGGCAAAUGACUACUGGAUCCACAACAGCUCCGGCCAAGAGCUUAUUUACUCAUCCAGGGAGUUCUCCCACUUGUGCUCCUGAUAAGCAACACACAGUACGAGACUCCCUACCAGUACACACCUGAUUCUCAACCCCCCUCCGAUAAUUGAGAACCCCUACUCUCACAACUUCCUUUUUAUGGUGUUCAGGCUUAGGAUUAGACAGGGUCCUGUGGGGCUCUUCUGCCCUGACUACCACCUCGGAGUAUUCAUGGUCAUUGUUGAGCAUCGCUAGAUUGGGCACUUCCAACUCUGAAGUUGAUGCCCCCGGACAGUGUACACCUCUUACCCUGUGCUUCUGGUCUGCUGUCUCAGCCCAUGGCUCUCUUGGAGUGCACAUUAUCUCCCUAAAGGGAGCUCUGGAGCACAUUUGCCCAUUCUCUACAACACUGCAGGUCAGCUAACUCCUCUUCAAGUUCAGACGCCUUGCUCCUGAGGUGUUGGAUUAGCUGACAAUUCUUGCAUGUGAACUCUCCAGGGAAGCAAUUUUCCAUGAAUCCAUUGUUUGCCGAUUAAAGCAAUGAGGAAGAUUGAAACAUGGAGGUGAAUGUGGAGGGCGAGAGCCGAUGACCUGCCUUCUGAUUGCUGGUGGUAUCGCUCUGCUGCCGAAGAGAGGCUGUGUGGCCUACUGCUGUGCCUGGAGGGUAGGCCUGUUGAUGUAACUGAGGUUUCUGCCUUUAUAGAUCUGGACUAUAGACAAAGAAUUUUUUUCAGUCUUAAUCGUUUUUGAAUUCUCUGUUUUUGCUUGUGCUUUCUCUUUGUUUUGCAGGUUGAUGUUCAGGUGGUGUUUUGUGCAGGGGUAGGGGGAGGUGUGUAAUGCACCAUCAAUAACUCUCUCUGAGAUGUAAAGGCGAGAUAUCAGCUUUUAUUGACUGGAAGAAGGAACAAGCAGUGGUUGACCACCAUACUACAUCCUGGAGACUGAGAGGCCAGGCUCAGGCCUCAAUCGCCUUUAUACAGGGGUCUGUGGGAGGAGCCACAGGAGCAGUCAGCAGGGGGCGUGUCCAGACAGGUAUAUGUAGUUCGCCAUAGUGUAGGGGCUGAUGUUCUGGUGGUGUUUUGUGCAGG